UGGGGAAUAUUGCACAAUGGAGGGAACUCUGAUGCAGCGACGCCGCGUGAACGAAGAAGGCUUUCGAGUCGUAAAGUUCUUUUAUAUGGGAAGAUAAUGAUGGUACCAUAAGAAAAAGCCCCGGCUAACUCCGUGCCAGCAGCCGCGGUAAUACGUAGGGGGCUAGCGUUGUCCGGAAUCACUGGGCGUAAAGGGUUCGCAGGCGGAAAUGCAAGUCAGGUGUAAAAGGCAGUAGCUUAACUACUGUAAGCAUUUGAAACUGCAUAUCUUGAGAAGAGUAGAGGUAAGUGGAAUUUUUAGUGUAGCGGUGAAAUGCGUAGAUAUUAAAAAGAAUACCGGUGGCGAAGGCGACUUACUGGGCUCAUUCUGACGCUGAGGAACGAAAGCGUGGGUAGCAAACAGG
Molecule: ribosomal RNA, 403 nt
Filed under: Fusobacteriota bacterium
Lineage: Bacteria; Fusobacteriati; Fusobacteriota
Description: Fusobacteria bacterium partial 16S ribosomal RNA
Rfam family: Bacterial small subunit ribosomal RNA
Source: RNAcentral